CAUUCAUGCAUUACUUUAACAUACGACUACAGUAAAGUUAAAAAUGCAUGUUUCAUUAAAUGCCUAGGCUCAUGGAAAAAUUUUGCUUGAGUCUCGUUUAUAAAAUGGAAUAUCCACAUGCACGUAGGCAUGACUAGGUGGCCAUUCAGUAGCACACCAAUCCACAGUCAUAAACAUCCUAUAUGCAUAAAAAUGUCAAAGUCAUAUUCCAUAAAGGUAGUCUAAUUACCAG
Molecule: long non-coding RNA, 232 nt
Filed under: Panax ginseng (ginseng)
Lineage: Eukaryota; Viridiplantae; Streptophyta; Magnoliopsida; Apiales; Araliaceae
Description: long non-coding RNA (PGIN_LNC014296)
Source: RNAcentral